GCCCAGGUGGCGAAAUUGGUAGACGCGCACGCUUCAGGAGCGUGUGAGCCUAGCUCUUGGAGGUUCGAGUCCUCUCCUGGGCACCA
RNAcentral lists this transfer RNA (86 nucleotides) under bacterium. RNAcentral describes it as "tRNA-Leu". It matches the Rfam family "tRNA". Rfam says of the family: Transfer RNA (tRNA) molecules are approximately 80 nucleotides in length. Their secondary structure includes four short double-helical elements and three loops (D, anti-codon, and T loops). Further hydrogen bonds mediate the characteristic L-shaped molecular structure. tRNAs have two regions of fundamental functional importance: the anti-codon, which is responsible for specific mRNA codon recognition, and the 3' end, to which the tRNAs corresponding amino acid is attached (by aminoacyl-tRNA synthetases). tRNAs cope with the degeneracy of the genetic code in two manners: having more than one tRNA (with a specific anti-codon) for a particular amino acid; and 'wobble' base-pairing, i.e. permitting non-standard base-pairing at the 3rd anti-codon position. The record is from RNAcentral.